RNAcentral lists this ribosomal RNA (402 nucleotides) under uncultured bacterium. Its description in RNAcentral is "bacterial SSU rRNA". It matches the Rfam family "Bacterial small subunit ribosomal RNA", at positions 335 to 717 of the family's 1533-position model. The record is from RNAcentral.
ACUCCUACGGGAGGCAGCAGUGGGGAAUAUUGCACAAUGGGGGGAAAACCCUGAUGCAGCCAUGCCGCGUGUGUGAAGAAGGCCUUCGGGUUGUAAAGCACUUUCAGUAGGGAGGAAGGUAGUGUAGUUAACACCUGCAUUAUUUGUACGUUACCUACAGAAGAAGCACCGGCUAACUCCGUGCCAGCAGCCGCGGUAAGUACGGAGGGUGCGAGCGUUAAUCGGAAUUACUGGGCGUAAAGCGCAUGCAGGCGGCCUGUUAAGUCAGAUGUGAAAGCCCGGGGUCUUAAACCUCGGAAUUGCAUUUGAAACUGGCGAGGCUAGUAGUCUUUGUAGGAGGGGGUUAGAAUUUCGAGGUGUAGCGGUGAAAUGCGUAGAGAUCGUGAAGGAAUACCGAGGUGG